AAGUCGUAACAAGGUUUCCGUAGGUGAACCUGCGGAAGGAUCAUUAACACGUAUCCAACGUUAAACCCCCCUGUGAAUUUUAUCGCUGCUCUUGCAGACGCCGGCAAGUUUGCAAUCCCUGGUAAAUCAUUGUUGAACAGAUUUUGAUUCAGGGACCUCUAACCCCGGUAGAUCUAUAGCUGCAAUUUGAGCGCUUGUGCAAGUGGCCUGGUUUCCCCAAGCAGCUAGUGUCUGAAAGUGUCGCUGGUUGUGUAAGGAAAACGCUUUACGAUCGCUGGAGGCCGAACACCGGCCGGUGACCGGGCUGCUGUGGCUUUAUGCCCCCUAUAUUUACCCCACUACCUUAACUCGGGUCGCAGGAAACUGCUUCCCAUCAACCGAACAACUGUUAACAAUGGAUAUCUUGGUUCUCA
This 413-nucleotide unclassified non-coding RNA is filed under the name fungal sp. RNAcentral describes it as "partial internal transcribed spacer region". The stretch from base 1 to 46 matches the Rfam family "Eukaryotic small subunit ribosomal RNA", at positions 1786 to 1831 of the family's 1831-position model. Lineage: Eukaryota; Fungi. The record is from RNAcentral.